UUCAUGAUAACACACCAUCACUUACUUCAAAACCAGUUGAAGACACAUUAAAAGAUCUUGCCUUGAAAAUAUUAACCCACCCGUUGAAUUCACCAGACCUUGCUCCUUCAAAUUUCCACUUGUUCUGAUUGAAGAAACACACAGACUUUCUG
Molecule: long non-coding RNA, 152 nt
Organism: Pipistrellus kuhlii (Kuhl's pipistrelle)
Lineage: Eukaryota; Metazoa; Chordata; Mammalia; Chiroptera; Vespertilionidae
Exons: 3
Source: RefSeq, a predicted model, not a curated record